RNAcentral lists this ribosomal RNA (465 nucleotides) under uncultured bacterium. RNAcentral describes it as "partial 16S ribosomal RNA". It matches the Rfam family "Bacterial small subunit ribosomal RNA", at positions 28 to 507 of the family's 1533-position model. The record is from RNAcentral.
GACGAACGCUGGCGGCGUGCUUAACACAUGCAAGUCGUACGGUAAGGCCCUUUCGGGGGUACACGAGUGGCGAACGGGUGAGUAACACGUGAGUAACCUGCCCACAACUUUGGGAUAACGCUAGGAAACUGGUGCUAAUACUGGAUAUGUGCUCCUGCUGCAUGGUGGGGGUUGGAAAGCUCCGGCGGUUGUGGAUGGACUCGCGGCCUAUCAGCUUGUUGGUGGGGUAGUGGCCUACCAAGGCGGCGACGGGUAGCCGGCCUGAGAGGGUGACCGGCCACAUUGGGACUGAGAUACGGCCCAGGCACCUACGGGAGGCAGCAGUGGGGAAGAUUGCACAAUGGGCGCAAGCCUGAUGCAGCAACGCCGCGUGCGGGAUGACGGCCUUCGGGUUGAAAACCGCUUUCAGCAGGGACGAAGCUUUUUGUGACGGUACCUGCAGAAGAAGCACCGGCUAACUACGUG